AGCAGCCGCGGUAAUUCCAGCUCCAAUAGCGUAUAUUAAAGUUGUUGCAGUUAAAAAGCUCGUAGUUGAAUUUCGGGGUCAGUAGAUUGGUCGUGCCACUGGUAUGCACUGGUCUUACUGAUUCCUCCUUCCUGAUGAACCGUAAUGCCAUUAAUUUGGUGUUGCGGGGAAACUGGACUGUUACUUUGAAAAAUUAGAGUGUUUAAAGCAGGCUAACGCUUGAAUACAUUAGCAUGGAAUAAUGAAAUAGGACGUUCGAUCUUAUUUUGUCGGUUUCUAGGAUUGACGUAAUGAUUAAUAGGGAUAGUUGGGGGCAUUAGUAUUCAAUUGUCAGAGGUGAAAUUCUUGGAUUUAUUGAAGACUAACUACUGCGAAAGCAUUUGCCAAGGAUGUUUUCAUUAAUCAAGACGAAAGUUAGGGGAUCGAAGACGAUCAGAUACCGUCGUAGUCUUAACCAUAAACUAAUGCCGACUAGGGAUCGGAUGAUGUUAAUUUUAAUGUAC
This 503-nucleotide ribosomal RNA is filed under the name uncultured Glomus. Its description in RNAcentral is "SSU rRNA". It matches the Rfam family "Eukaryotic small subunit ribosomal RNA", at positions 569 to 1077 of the family's 1831-position model. The record is from RNAcentral. Lineage: Eukaryota; Fungi; Glomeromycota; Glomeromycetes; Glomerales; Glomeraceae.